CGACUUCAAGAAAAGAGGCUUUAUUAUCCAGCAGCUCCUCUUGGAAUUCAAAGGAGGAAGGACAGCCGAGCCCCGGGGGGAGUUAGACUUGGACACUGGAAAGUCUUCAGGAGCUGUGCAGCUUUUCUUCUCUCGCCCCCCAAGGCUUUCCUGUCCCCCUGCCCCGCGACUGUCCAGCCCUGCCCCACAGAAUGGCUCUGGGCGAUCUCCUCACAUACCUGGCUUGGCCCUCAGUUGUGGCCUUCGGUCUCUCAUUCAACAGGAUCCUGCAGCUCCUGUGACCAUCACCACCUGACUCUCGGCCUGUGUCUCAGUUCAAAUUGUCAAGAGAAAAUUCUUCAAACUGGAGCUGCUCUAUCAGUAAAUACACCACGGAUGCUUGGACUGUGAGUCACAAAAUCCCGACUAACCCGGGCUAAGGUACAGGAAGUUCAGAGGUAGGCGUCUCAGGGUUGGCUCUGUAAUACCUGACACAAUCAAGGAGCUACCCUUCAUUCACAGUAUCAGACCUCAUUGUCACAGCUCUAGGCUGCAUCUUGUCAAAAGAAAGCCUCCUGAGCAGGAAGGAAAGGGGUACAAGCAGAAAGACCUUUCUCCUCAGGCACAUCUUUGUUUUCUGAGAAGGAAAAUUCUUCCAAAAGUCCUAAGUAGACUUGCACUUCUCUCUCCUUUUCAGGGAAGACCUGAGUCACUUGCCUAUCCCCAGGCCACCAGAAGCAAAAGAAAAUGAGAUUGCCGUGGCUGGUUUAGGUCAGUCAGGACUCACCCCCUGGGACCAGGCACAAGGCUUCCUGAGCAAAAUCAGCUAGCUUGCUUGCUUGCUUUUUUUUUUUUUUCUUAAGAUUCUAUUUAUUUAUUUGAUAGACAGAGAUCACAAGCAGGCAGAGAAGCAGGCAGAGAAGCAGGCACAGUGAGAGGAGGAAGCAGGCUCCCUGCUGAACAGAGAGCCUGAUGUGAGGCUCCAUCCCAGGACCCUGGGAUCCUGACCUGAGCCAAAGGCAGAGGCUUUAACCCAUUGAGCCACCCAGAUGCCCCCCAAAUCAGUUUUCUGUUGGUAAGAAAGAGAAGGAAUGAGGACUGGGUACUGGGUAGGCUCCCACUAGUGACCACAAAAAUGAAAAUGCUUAACUAUGUCUUAAUAUCUGCCCAGAGAUAUUGCUUCUCUAUAUGUUUAAGUAUAUAUGUUUAAGUAUAACUAUUUAUAUUUAAGUAAAGUUAUAAGUAUAUAAACAUAUAUGUAACUAUAUGUGUUUAAGUAAAUUUUUUCUUUAUUUAUUUGAGAGAGAGAGAGAGGGCAAGAGAGAGCACAAGCAGAAGGGAGAGGGGAGCUUCUCCCCCACUGAACAGGGA
RNAcentral lists this long non-coding RNA (1350 nucleotides) under Mustela putorius furo (domestic ferret). Its description in RNAcentral is "lncRNA (ENSMPUG00000028564.1)". Lineage: Eukaryota; Metazoa; Chordata; Mammalia; Carnivora; Mustelidae. The record is from RNAcentral.